Molecule: long non-coding RNA, 209 nt
Filed under: Olea europaea (common olive)
Lineage: Eukaryota; Viridiplantae; Streptophyta; Magnoliopsida; Lamiales; Oleaceae
Description: long non-coding RNA (OEUR_LNC014149)
Source: RNAcentral
UUGGAUACAUUCACCCGAUGCCCUCGACUAAGAUUAGCCACCGAUGUAUCUAAUCUAUUCAUCCAAGCCUCCUGCUUCUCCAACCUAUCUCUCACAUCUCCAAACGCCCUCUCAAACCUCUGCACCAAAUCCUCCGAUGCAUUGCUAUUAUUGCCUUGUCGACUUGAAUUUGAUUCUGCCUUUUCUGACAUCCUAACACUAAAGAUUUU